RNAcentral lists this ribosomal RNA (672 nucleotides) under Escherichia coli. Its description in RNAcentral is "partial 23S ribosomal RNA". It matches the Rfam family "Bacterial large subunit ribosomal RNA", at positions 2263 to 2925 of the family's 2925-position model. The record is from RNAcentral. Lineage: Bacteria; Pseudomonadati; Pseudomonadota; Gammaproteobacteria; Enterobacterales; Enterobacteriaceae.
GGGUAGUUUGACUGGGGCGGUCUCCUCCUAAAGAGUAACGGAGGAGCACGAAGGUUGGCUAAUCCUGGUCGGACAUCAGGAGGUUAGUGCAAUGGCAUAAGCCAGCUUGACUGCGAGCGUGACGGCGCGAGCAGGUGCGAAAGCAGGUCAUAGUGAUCCGGUGGUUCUGAAUGGAAGGGCCAUCGCUCAACGGAUAAAAGGUACUCCGGGGAUAACAGGCUGAUACCGCCCAAGAGUUCAUAUCGACGGCGGUGUUUGGCACCUCGAUGUCGGCUCAUCACAUCCUGGGGCUGAAGUAGGUCCCAAGGGUAUGGCUGUUCGCCAUUUAAAGUGGUACGCGAGCUGGGUUUAGAACGUCGUGAGACAGUUCGGUCCCUAUCUGCCGUGGGCGCUGGAGAACUGAGGGGGGCUGCUCCUAGUACGAGAGGACCGGAGUGGACGCAUCACUGGUGUUCGGGUUGUCAUGCCAAUGGCACUGCCCGGUAGCUAAAUGCGGAAGAGAUAAGUGCUGAAAGCAUCUAAGCACGAAACUUGCCCCGAGAUGAGUUCUCCCUGACUCCUUGAGAGUCCUGAAGGAACGUUGAAGACGACGACGUUGAUAGGCCGGGUGUGUAAGCGCAGCGAUGCGUUGAGCUAACCGGUACUAAUGAACCGUGAGGCUUAACCUUACAA